UACGUAGGGCGCAAGCGUUAUCCGGAAUUAUUGGGCGUAAAGAGCUCGUAGGCGGUUUGUCGCGUCUGCCGUGAAAGUCCGGGGCUCAACUCCGGAUCUGCGGUGGGUACGGGCAGACUAGAGUGAUGUAGGGGAGACUGGAAUUCCUGGUGUAGCGGUGAAGAUGCGCAGAUAUCAGGAGGAACACCGAUGGCGAAGGCAGGUCUCUGGGCAUUAACUGACGCUGAGGAGCGAAAGCAUGGGGAGCGAACAGG
Molecule: ribosomal RNA, 254 nt
Filed under: uncultured bacterium
Lineage: Bacteria
Description: partial 16S ribosomal RNA
Rfam family: Bacterial small subunit ribosomal RNA
Source: RNAcentral